UUUUAAUGCGAGUUUGAUCCUGGCUCAGGACGAACGCUGGCGGCGUGCCUA
RNAcentral lists this ribosomal RNA (51 nucleotides) under Streptococcus agalactiae MRI Z1-211. Its description in RNAcentral is "partial 16S ribosomal RNA". Lineage: Bacteria; Bacillati; Bacillota; Bacilli; Lactobacillales; Streptococcaceae. The record is from RNAcentral.